AAAAUGCGAUAAGUAGUAUGAAUUGCAGAAUUUAGUGAAUUAUUGAAUCUUUAAACGCACAUUGCGCCCUUUAGUAUUUCUUAGGGCAUGCCUGUUUAAGCGUUAUUUAAACCCUUAAGCUUAGCUUAGUGUUAGGCGUCUGUCCCUCCUACUAUGUAGGCGGGGACUUGCCUUAAAUUGAUUGGCGGCUAGUACGUUGGCUUCGAGCGCAGCAGAAACGUAAACUCGGGCCCUAGCAAGCUAGCUCCUAUAAGCUAUACUCCUAAUUUUAACUUUAGAUUAGGUAGAGAUACCUGCUGAACUUAA
This 306-nucleotide unclassified non-coding RNA is filed under the name uncultured fungus. RNAcentral's name for it is "sequence contains ITS1". The stretch from base 1 to 105 matches the Rfam family "5.8S ribosomal RNA", at positions 50 to 154 of the family's 154-position model. The record is from RNAcentral. Lineage: Eukaryota; Fungi.